This 827-nucleotide ribosomal RNA is filed under the name Paramyrothecium foliicola. RNAcentral's name for it is "eukaryotic LSU rRNA". It matches the Rfam family "Eukaryotic large subunit ribosomal RNA", at positions 74 to 935 of the family's 3401-position model. The record is from RNAcentral. Lineage: Eukaryota; Fungi; Ascomycota; Sordariomycetes; Hypocreales; Stachybotryaceae.
AUUGCCUCAGUAACGGCGAGUGAAGCCGCAACAGCUCAAAUUUGAAAUCUGGCCCUAGGCCCGAGUUGUAAUUUGCAGAGGAUGCUUUUGGUGAGGUGCCUUCCGAGUUCCCUGGAACGGGACGCCAUAGAGGGUGAGAGCCCCGUCUGGUCGGACACCGAGCCUCUGUAAAGCUCCUUCGACGAGUCGAGUAGUUUGGGAAUGCUGCUCUAAAUGGGAGGUAUAUGUCUUCUAAAGCUAAAUACCGGCCAGAGACCGAUAGCGCACAAGUAGAGUGAUCGAAAGAUGAAAAGCACUUUGAAAAGAGAGUUAAAUAGCACGUGAAAUUGUUGAAAGGGAAGCGUUUAUGACCAGACUUGGCCCGGUUGAUCAUCCAGCGUUCUCGCUGGUGCACUCUGCCGGUCCAGGCCAGCAUCAGUUCGUCGCGGGGGAUAAAGGUUUCGGGAAUGUGGCUCCUCCGGGAGUGUUAUAGCCCGUUGCGUAAUACCCUGCGGUGGACUGAGGUCCGCGCUUCUGCAAGGAUGCUGGCGUAAUGGUCAUCAACGACCCGUCUUGAAACACGGACCAAGGAGUCGUCUUCGUAUGCGAGUGUUCGGGUGUAAAACCCCUACGCGUAAUGAAAGUGAACGCAGGUGAGAGCUUCGGCGCAUCAUCGACCGAUCCUGAUGUUCUCGGAUGGAUUUGAGUAAGAGCAUACGGGGCCGGACCCGAAAGAAGGUGAACUAUGCCUGUAUAGGGUGAAGCCAGAGGAAACUCUGGUGGAGGCUCGCAGCGGUUCUGACGUGCAAAUCGAUCGUCAAAUAUGGGCAUGGGGGCGAAAGACUAAU